CGUACACACCGCCCGUCACACCAUGGGAGUUGAUUGCACCAGAAGUAGGUAGCCUAACCGCAAGGGGGGCGCUUACCACGGUGUGGUCAAUGACUGGGGUG
This 101-nucleotide ribosomal RNA is filed under the name uncultured bacterium. Its description in RNAcentral is "partial 16S ribosomal RNA". It matches the Rfam family "Bacterial small subunit ribosomal RNA", at positions 1382 to 1482 of the family's 1533-position model. The record is from RNAcentral.